UUUUGUUUUUAAAAGUUUAAAUUUAGCUUACUCCUUGCUGUAUUUAGAAAUUAGAUUUAAUAUUUUACUUGAACUAAAUAGUAUUAUAGAUUGAGAACAGAAAUAGAAAUAAAUAUAUAUUCCCGGCCAAAAACGUGCCAGCCGCCGCGGCUAAACGAGAGGGGAUAGUAAGGAUAAUAGAAAUGAUAAUUGUGAAAUUUAAAAUUAAAAGAGGUGAAAUUUAAUUUAAUUUUUAUUUGAAUAAAUCAUGGUAAGUUAAGGGCUAAAACUAGGAUUAGAUACCCUAUUAUUCUUAAUAUGGUAAGGUAGUAAAGUUAUUGAAACCUAAGUGUUUUGGCGGUCUUCAAUCUAGUUAGAGGAGCUUGUCUCGUAAUUGAUAAUCCUCAUUAUUUUUUACUUUAGUUAAAAGUUUAUAUACCGCCGUAUAGAAUUUUUUUAAAAAACAAAGUCAGGAUAUUAGUGGAUAGAAAUUCAGGUCAAGGUGUAGCUUAUACUAAAGGGAAGGUGAGCUACUAUUAGAAUAUAUAAGGCUUAUUAGGAAAAUUUCUUAUAUAAAAAGGGAUUUAAAAGUAAAUUUUAUUUAGUAAUUAAAUUUGAAAUUAGAAAUUGAAGAUGUACAUAUCGCCCGUCGCUCUUAUUGAAAAAUAAGAUAAGUCGUAACAUAGUUGGGGUACUGGAAAGUGCUCCUAG
Molecule: non-coding RNA, 690 nt
Filed under: Liphistius erawan
Lineage: Eukaryota; Metazoa; Arthropoda; Arachnida; Araneae; Liphistiidae
Source: RNAcentral